UACGAAGGGAGCUAGCGUUGUUCGGAAUCACUGGGCGUAAAGCGCACGUAGGCGGAUGUGUCAGUCAGGGGUGAAAUCCCGGAGCUCAACUUCGGAACUGCCUUUGAUACAGCACGUCUUGAGUCCGGAAGAGGUGGGUGGAAUUCCUAAUGUAGAGGUGAAAUUCGUAGAUAUUAGGAAGAACACCGGUGGCGAAGGCGGCCCACUGGUCCGGUACUGACGCUGAGGUGCGAAAGCGUGGGGAGCAAACAGG
This 253-nucleotide ribosomal RNA is filed under the name uncultured bacterium. RNAcentral describes it as "partial 16S ribosomal RNA". It matches the Rfam family "Bacterial small subunit ribosomal RNA", at positions 524 to 776 of the family's 1533-position model. The record is from RNAcentral.